UUCUGGUCCCGAUUUACGUGGAAAUCCUUUUUGUUUUGGCGAAAGACAAAACAAAAAAAUUGUAACAGAAAGCGGGUGGAAUC
RNAcentral lists this small RNA (83 nucleotides) under Kaistella jeonii. Its description in RNAcentral is "Chryseobacterium jeonii Flavo-1 RNA". It matches the Rfam family "Flavo-1 RNA". Lineage: Bacteria; Pseudomonadati; Bacteroidota; Flavobacteriia; Flavobacteriales; Weeksellaceae. The record is from RNAcentral.